RNAcentral lists this transfer RNA (56 nucleotides) under Camelus ferus (Wild Bactrian camel). It matches the Rfam family "tRNA", at positions 9 to 63 of the family's 71-position model. Rfam says of the family: Transfer RNA (tRNA) molecules are approximately 80 nucleotides in length. Their secondary structure includes four short double-helical elements and three loops (D, anti-codon, and T loops). Lineage: Eukaryota; Metazoa; Chordata; Mammalia; Artiodactyla; Camelidae. The record is from Rfam by way of RNAcentral.
AGCUCAGUGGUAGAGUGUGUGCUUAGCAUGCACAAAGUCCUGGGUCCAAUCCCCAG